GACAGUGUGGCGUAAUAGUUUGAGCGCUGGACUAUGACUCUGGAGACCAGGGUUCGAAUCCCCACUUGGACA
Non-coding RNA from Phrynosoma platyrhinos (Desert horned lizard), 72 nucleotides. The record is from the annotation of a GenBank genome assembly. NCBI's taxonomy places the organism in Eukaryota, Metazoa, Chordata, Lepidosauria, Squamata, Phrynosomatidae.